GGGGCUGUAGCUCAGUUGGUAGAGCGCCUGCAUGGCAUGCAGGAGGUCAGGAGUUCAAUUCUCCUUAGCUCCA
This 73-nucleotide transfer RNA is filed under the name Streptomyces liliifuscus. RNAcentral describes it as "Streptomyces sp. ZYC-3 tRNA-Ala". It matches the Rfam family "tRNA". From Rfam's summary of the family: Transfer RNA (tRNA) molecules are approximately 80 nucleotides in length. Their secondary structure includes four short double-helical elements and three loops (D, anti-codon, and T loops). Further hydrogen bonds mediate the characteristic L-shaped molecular structure. tRNAs have two regions of fundamental functional importance: the anti-codon, which is responsible for specific mRNA codon recognition, and the 3' end, to which the tRNAs corresponding amino acid is attached (by aminoacyl-tRNA synthetases). tRNAs cope with the degeneracy of the genetic code in two manners: having more than one tRNA (with a specific anti-codon) for a particular amino acid; and 'wobble' base-pairing, i.e. permitting non-standard base-pairing at the 3rd anti-codon position. The record is from RNAcentral. Lineage: Bacteria; Bacillati; Actinomycetota; Actinomycetes; Kitasatosporales; Streptomycetaceae.